AUUGAACGCUGGCGGAAUGCUUUACACAUGCAAGUCGAACGGUAGAGGGGGCAACCCCUCGAGAGUGGCGAACGGGUGAGUAAUAUAUCGGAACGUGCCCAGUCGUGGGGGAUAACGAGUCGAAAGAUUCGCUAAUACCGCAUACGCCCUACGGGGGAAAGCUGGGGACCUUCGGGCCUGGCGUUAAUGGAGCGGCCGAUAUCUGAUUAGCUAGUUGGUGAGGUAAAGGCUCACAAAGGCGACGAUCAGUAGCUGGUCUGAGAGGACGACCAGCAACACUGGAACUGAGACACGGUCCAGACUCCUACGGGAGGCAGCAGUGGGGAAUUUUGGACAAUGGGCGCAAGCCUGAUCCAGCCAUUCCGCGUGAGUGAAGAAGGCCCUCGGGUUGUAAAGCUCUUUCGCAAGGGAAGAAAACUUAGCCACUAACAUUGGUUGAGGUUGACGGUACCUUGAUAAGAAGCACCGGCUAACUACGUGCCAGCCGCCGCCGUAA
RNAcentral lists this ribosomal RNA (496 nucleotides) under uncultured bacterium. Its description in RNAcentral is "partial 16S ribosomal RNA". It matches the Rfam family "Bacterial small subunit ribosomal RNA", at positions 30 to 523 of the family's 1533-position model. The record is from RNAcentral.